GGCCGGCCCGGCUCGGCGCAUUCGUAAACAAACCCUGGUUCAGUUCGGAGCAGCGAACACCCGAAGACCCCUUCACCCUUCACCAUCAGUGUAACACACUUGGGCUUCUUAUUUCAUCGAGACCGCCGGCACGGGAAAAUGUAGGCGAGCGGGCACCAGGUGCGGAGCGCGACAGUUUACCUGCACCCUACGGGGUCGGUGCUUGAACAAUCCGUACGCGACGACAGGCGUGAAUUAGAGUUCGAAAUACCUUUACACUUUGAACAAAUAUGCGAAGAGAACUUCGAGAUACAGUUAGAGCAGACUCGUAGUUUGAUCCAAAACCAUCGGCACCAUCUGCCUCCUCUAGUACCGCACACUGUGGCACAGCAUUGGAAA
Long non-coding RNA from Cataglyphis hispanica, 378 nucleotides. RefSeq lists it as uncharacterized. The transcript is spliced from 3 exons. NCBI's taxonomy places the organism in Eukaryota, Metazoa, Arthropoda, Insecta, Hymenoptera, Formicidae. The record is from RefSeq and is a predicted model, not a curated record.